UACGAGUGCCCCGAGCGUUAUCCGGAAUCAUUGGGCGUAAAGGGUGUGUAGGUGGCAGUGUUAGUCACGCGUUAAAACCUGGGGCUUAACCCCAGACGUACGUGUGAUACGGCACAGCUAGAGGAUGGCAGGGAUGUAUGGAACUCAUGGAGUAGGGGUGAAAUCCGUUGAUAUCAUGGGGAACACCAAAAGCGAAGGCAGUACAUUGGGCCACUCCUGACACUGAAACACGAAAGCGUGGGUAGCGAAUGGG
RNAcentral lists this ribosomal RNA (253 nucleotides) under uncultured bacterium. Its description in RNAcentral is "partial 16S ribosomal RNA". It matches the Rfam family "Bacterial small subunit ribosomal RNA", at positions 524 to 776 of the family's 1533-position model. The record is from RNAcentral.